This 382-nucleotide long non-coding RNA is filed under the name Marmota monax (woodchuck). Lineage: Eukaryota; Metazoa; Chordata; Mammalia; Rodentia; Sciuridae. The record is from RNAcentral.
AGGGUAAUGUUGGGUUCUAAACUGCACCCAUCCUCCAAAAAAAAAUGGUGAAGAGUUGGUACAAUGUUUUUCUAAAAUUCUAUAGGAUUUACUCAUGAACCAUCUCAGCUGAGUGCUUUCAUUUUGGAAGGUAAUCAAUGAUUGAUUUAAUAUCUAUAAUUCAGAUUGUCUGUAAUUCAUGUUAUGCAAAUUUGGGCAGAUAGUAAUUAAAAAAUUUUUUUUAGUUGUAGAUGGACGCAUUACCUUUAUUUUAUUUUAAUGUGGUGCUGAGGAUUGAACCCAGUGCCUUCCACAUGCAAGUCGAGUGCUCUACCACUGAACUACGACCCCCGCCAUGGGCAGAUAGUCUUUCUAGGAAUGGGUUCAUUUCAUCCAGGGCAUC